ACUAUUUUGGCAGAAAAAUGUUUUAAAUUUAGAAUUUAAAUAUAUAUAAAUUAUUUAUAUAAAUAGUA
RNAcentral lists this transfer RNA (68 nucleotides) under Gumaga orientalis. RNAcentral's name for it is "tRNA-Leu". The record is from RNAcentral. Lineage: Eukaryota; Metazoa; Arthropoda; Insecta; Trichoptera; Sericostomatidae.